GUACGCAUGCGCGAUGUUCGAGACAGCUGUACGCAUGCGCGACAUUAUGGACGGCAGUACGCAUGCGCGAUCCCCGAGACGGUAAUACGCAUGCGCGAGAUUACGGACGGCAGUACGCAUGCGCGACAUCGUGUACAACUGUACGCAUGCGCGACAUUAUAGACGGCAGUACGCAUGCGCGAGUUUCCAGACGGCAGUACGCAUGCGCGAUGUGCGAGACAGCAGUACGCAUGCGCGACAUUAUGGACGGCAGUACGCAUGCGCGAGCCCCGAGACGGAAGUACGCAUGCGCGAGAUUACGGACGGCAGUACGCAUGCGCGACAUUACGGACAGCAGUACGCAUGCGCGAGCUUCGAGACGGUAAUACGCAUGCGCGAGAUUACGGACGGCAGUACGCAUGCGCGACAUCGUGUACAACUGUACGCAUGCGCGACAUUAUAGACGGCAGUACGCAUGCGCGAGCUUCCAGACGGUAGUACGCAUGCGCGACAUUACUGACAGCACUACGCAUGUGCGAGCCCCGAGACGGCAAUACGCAUGCGCGAGCCGCGAGACGGCAGUACGCAUGCGCGAGCCGCGAGAACGCAGUACGCAUGCGCGAGUUUCCAGACUGCAGUACACAUGCGCACCAUUACGGACUGCAGUACGCAUGCGCGAGCCGUGAAACGGCAGUAUGCAUGCGCGACAUCAUAGACAGCAGUACGCAUGCGCGGGACGCGAGACGGCAGUACGCAUGCGCGAGGUUCGAGACGGCAAUAUGCAUGCGCGACAUUAUGGACGGCAGUACGCAUGCGCGAGACCCGAAACGGUGGCAGCAGAUACCGUGGAAACAACAACUCCGCCGCCUUUUAGCGGACUGCCUGGGACCGUGGGCGCGCAUCCCCUUCUCUCUUUCUUUUCUUGGCAGAGGAUGGUGGGGGGAAGAAGGGGAGACGACAAAGAAAAGCAAGGAAAACUUCGACAAACCCUCCAACCCCGUGCUAAAUGCUUUGGUAUACCUGUAAAUAAAUGAAUACAUAACCAGCAAGUUGUUGUUGUCAUGCCUUUUUUUUUUUUUAAUAUGUGUAUGUGUAUACAUUUAUAUAUACACAUGUAUAUACAUAUUUCAGCCAGCAUCUGAGGUGAUGAAAAAAUAUGGUAUGAAUUGCACGCAGUGAAGCCAAGGGUGCCUUGGAACAAUUAACAGAGCAAUGCAAAACAGCCGUGCAAGUCUUCUAAGAAACAUCAUAGUAACAGCUUUCCUACCCGGCCUCCCCCUCUUAGAUUCCAUCUGGCUCACCCAAGGCUUGUAAAUAUGCACUGGCUCGCUUUCGAUAUUGAGCAAUUUGUCGUCAGUUCUUUC
Molecule: long non-coding RNA, 1343 nt
Filed under: Gallus gallus (chicken)
Lineage: Eukaryota; Metazoa; Chordata; Aves; Galliformes; Phasianidae
Description: lncRNA (ENSGALG00010001543.1)
Source: RNAcentral